Molecule: ribosomal RNA, 1473 nt
Filed under: metagenome
Description: bacterial SSU rRNA
Rfam family: Bacterial small subunit ribosomal RNA
Source: RNAcentral
AGAGUUUGAUCCUGGCUCAGAAUCAACGCUGGCGGCGUGCCUAACACAUGCAAGUCGAACGAGAAAGUUACCUUCGGAUAGCGAGUAAAGUGGCAAACGGGUGAGUAACGCGUGGGACAUCUACCCUGAUGAGGGGAAUAACUCUUCGAAAGGAGAGCUAAUACCGCAUAAUCCGGUUUACCGGGAAAGGCCUUCGGGUCACAUUAGGAGGAGCCCGCGUCCGAUUAGCUAGUUGGUGAGGUAAUGGCUCACCAAGGCUGCGAUCGGUAGCCGGUCUGAGAGGACGGACGGCCACACUGGGACUGAGACACGGCCCAGACUCCUACGGGAGGCAGCAGUGGGGAAUUUUGGGCAAUGGGCGAAAGCCUGACCCAGCAACGCCGCGUGGAGGAAGAAGGUUUUCGGAUCGUAAACUCCUGUCCCAUGAGACGAAAAAAAUGACGGUAUCAUGGGAGGAAGCCCCGGCUAACUCCGUGCCAGCAGCCGCGGUAAUACGGGGGGGGCAAGCGUUGUUCGGAAUUACUGGGCGUAAAGGGCGCGUAGGCGGUUUCGGAAGUCAAGGGUGAAAGCCCCGAGCUCAACUCGGGAACUGCCUUUGAAACCACGGAACUAGAGUGUUGGAGAGGAAAGCGGAAUUUCCAGUGUAGCGGUGAAAUGCGUAGAUAUUGGAAGGAACAUCUGAGGCGAAGGCGGCUUUCUGGACAGACACUGACGCUGAGGCGCGAAAGCUAGGGGAGCGAACGGGAUUAGAUACCCCGGUAGUCCUAGCUGUAAACGAUGAACACUUGGUGUGGGGGGUAUAAAGUCCCUCCGUGCCGUAGAUAACUCGAUAAGUGUUCCGCCUGGGGAGUACGGCCGCAAGGCUGAAACUCAAAGGAAUUGACGGGGGCCCGCACAAGCGGUGGAGCAUGUGGUUUAAUUCGACGCAACGCGAAGAACCUUACCGGGGUUUGAACUGUACCGGCAACAUCCAGAGAUGGAUGGUUUCCUUCGGGAACUGGUAUAGAGGUGCUGCAUGGCUGUCGUCAGCUCGUGUCGUGAGAUGUUGGGUUAAGUCCCGCAACGAGCGCAACCCUUGUCUGUAGUCGCCAUCAGGUUAAGCUGGGCACUCUACGGAGACUGUCGGCGAUAAGCCGGAGGAAGGUGGGGAUGACGUCAAGUCCUCAUGGCCUUUAUGUCCCGGGCUACACACGUGCUACAAUGGGUGGAACAGAGGGCAGCGAGCCUGCGAAGGCAAGCGAAUCCCAAAAAUCCAUUCUCAGUUCGGAUUGCAGUCUGCAACUCGACUGCAUGAAGUUGGAAUCGCUAGUAAUCGCGGAUCAGAACGCCGCGGUGAAUACGUUCCCGGGCCUUGUACACACCGCCCGUCACAUCACGAAAGUGGGCUGUACUAGAAGCCGCCGGCCUAACCUCUUCGGAGGAGGGAGGCGUCGACGGUAUGGUUCAUGAUUGGGGUGAAGUCGUAACAAGGUA